CGAUCGUUCAUUCCUUCAACGUUCCUGCAUUGCGCAUGGCCGGAGCUGGUGCUUCAGAGAACGACUGCGGUCACGUUGGUUCGCCGGCUCCUUACUCAAAGAGAGGGCAAGACCGAAACUGGGUAGCAAAGUUCCUAACUGAAAACUGUUUUGUGGGCAGUCAAGACAGAAGUCUCCCUGAGAAGAGGAUUCAUGAACACUGACUCAGGGAGGAAGUAGGUGGGGGAGGAAGAAAAGGCUGCACACUGAUUUAAAAAAAGAAAGAAAAAUGCCUGCUGCCUCAUAUUCAUGACUUCAACGUAAAUGGCUGAGCACUUACAAACUGUUAACCAACACAACGCCAGCCUGUAAGAAGGCUCUGAGCCAGGUCAUCCAGGGUCAUUGGAGCACUAUCUCAAGGAGGAAGGCCUCAAGAAAGAUGCAACCCAGGAGAAUCAGAGUAAUAGUCUUCCUUUUGUUUAGUGCUUUAUGCUUUACAAAGCAUUCUUGAAUGUAAUCUCAACCACGGAGAGCCUGUAAGUGUAUGCACCACUGGAGUGAUUCUAUAGAGCCCAUCAUUGAUUCCACAAUGUUUCUAUCAAGGUAGAUGGAGGAGGUAUUCCUUUCUCUGGGCCAGUUCUCAGUGGAAACAGGAUUCCAGAGGAUGGUGACUCAAGACAUUUGGCUAGAAGCCUGGCUGGAACAGGAACUCUGAAAGCAAGGUCUCUUCCCUGCCUCUCUGUGCCAUCCUUUCAGGUUCCCAAGAGAAUGUCUGCAUACCACAUCCUUGGGUUUUCGUCACUGCAUAACUCCGCCUGUGAUUGUGUCCUCAGCCUACCCAGCCUAAACUGUUCCCCACUUCCUUCCCUGCCCAAGUUUCUCUUCAGUACACACCCAGCAUGUUUCUUCCUCCCCCAGCAUCACCUGUCUUUCUCAAGUCCUGUCGAUUGCUAAUAUGCUUCUCAGUUGUGUCACUUGUGUUCUGCAGAAAACUGCCCACUUGGUUCCAGUAUGAUUAGAAAUGUUUUGAAACUUUGUUUUGCUUCUGAGUGCAAUGAUUUGGGAUCCGAUAUACUCUGGAGCAGAGGUUUUCAAACUUUGGAGUGCGAAUCGCCUCAGAGGCUGGUUAAACAUACAGGCGCAGGGGCCCCACUUGAGAUCUGAAUGCAAGUCAGAGGCCCCACACAUCUGUGUUUUCAACAAGUGCCCCAGCCACCACUGAAGGGUCCAAAGCUUGAGAGUCACUGUCCCAUAUUAUCUGAUUUGCUCAAGAAAACAAAACGGUUGCAACAGCCACCUUGACUUAUACUUUUCUUGUUCUUGGUUUUCUAGAUCCUUUUAACUCGAUACCCAUAUCUUUCCUACUGCUUGUUCUAAUUCUCUUGGUCCGAGUGUUAGAUAUUCCACAUUGUUGGGGUUUAAGUUGACCCAGGUGUUCAGUAUUCUAGAUUGUUGGGUUUUGAGAAGGCCAAUAAAUAACACCCUCCUUUCCCUUCCUGAAAUUAUAAACAACUGAAAGAGAUGGAGAUCAAAACAUUGCCUUCCUUUCUAAUAAAGCAGACUGAACACUACAGCUCUAAGUCUGCAGUCAUUUGGGCGUACUCAUAUUCCCCCCACCAGCUCCCCAAUUGCAGGCACAGCCCCCUAGUCACUUAGCACAGCCAGACAACUAUAGGCCCCUUAACCCAAGAUAGAGCAGAUGGGAAUGCAUGAGAGCAGAAGAUAGGCCACUAAAAAAAAAAAAAGGAAGAAGAAGGAGAGAAAGAAAGGACGAAGAAGAAAGAUAUAGAUAGAGAGGGAGAAAGGAAAAGAGAGGAGAAGCAGAGGGAGAGAAAGAAAGAGACAAGGCAGAGCAGACCCAGCUCAUUGUUUUAAAUUCACCAGUCAGAAAACUUACUCCUCUUACCUUCUAAUCAUAAAACCACUUGACAUUUUCCUAACCUACUGCUUACUCUCUAUCUCAACUCCCCAAAGGCUACCUCAGACCAGGGGACAAUCUCAUCAUUGCUCUAAAUAGCCUGUGAUCCAUCAUCCCUACACUCUCUCUAACACCAUCCUUUUCACUUCAUGGUGCCUUCUCGUCCUAUUCCAUCUGCCCCUUGGUCUCUCCCCUCCUCUGAGAAGUCUUCUCCGUCCUCUUCAAAGCAUUUUGCACAUUAUGUUCCGACAAAUGUUCCCUGUAAUAACCUGUUUGCCUAUUUCCCUCACCACACUGUGCAUCCAAGGCAGAAAGCACUCUAUUCUUCUUUGCUGAGUGUCCAGCAGUAGCAUAAUGUCUGCCCCAUAUCCCCUCCUUCCUCCCUUCAUGCCUUUCUUCAUUCUCUCUCUCUUAUGUACCAGCCCUCCCUAGGAACUGGUUUUUAAAAAUGAGCAACGUAGGAUCUCUGAUCUUAACUUGUUUUCUAACAGGGGAAAGAGACAUUUAAAGAAAUUAAUAUAUUUGAUGUGCUAAGUUCUAUAAUUGAGAUAUAUAAGAUACAGUCAAGAGUAUAUGUAUAUAAGAUGCAAGGAAGUCUUCAUUCACUCAGUUAUCCAAUAAACAUUUAGGGAGUGCUUACUAAGUGCCAGGCAGGAUACUAGAUUCUGCAGGUAAAAUGAUGAGCCAAAUCUGACAUGGAAUUACCCUCAUGGAGAAUGGAUGAAUGAAAUUAAUGUAAGUGUGAAAUGUUAUUUUAGUCAGGGUUCCUGGUUGCAGGCAUAGAAACUGACUCAGACUAACUUAAACAGAAAAGGAAUUCAUCGGGAGGAAAUUGGGUGGUUCCUAUGAUCACAGGGGAGGCAGCAGACCAGGCUCAGAAAACAGAGGGUGCUGGCAUUCUGGAGCUGGGCAAGCAAGGGAGCCAAGGAACUCACCUCACUAGCUCUCUGUUGGACAUUUCCCCCCUGCCCGCCCCAGGUAUUGUGUUCCUGAGUCCAGGCCUCUCGGAUUCAGAUUUCUAGUGCUGACUAGGAUGAGCUAAUAGGUAAAGGAGUCUGGGGUCUAACUUCACCUUAUACUGACUUUCAAACAUUCCAUCGAUUUUCAGCCUCCUCCUCACUCCCUCUUCCUAAAUACUUGGUGCCAGCAAUUAUUUGAGCCUUGGUACAACUUGCAGGCUUAGCUUUGCUCUGUUCUGCUAAGUCAGGUGCCAUUCCUGUGACUGCUGGCUUCCAUCCUUGUUCUCAUGUUAUUUGGGUGUGAUUUUUUUCUCUUUGGUUUGAUUUUUUGAGAGAAGAGGGUAAAAGCAUUUUUAUGCUGACAUGAGUAUUUUCGUGUCUAUGAGGCAGCUUUCCUGUACAAGAUUAUUCACAGAUUAGUUUUUAAUUAACAUUCAAUUUAUUGAAGUAACAGUAAAGUCUAGCUUUUCCUUAAGCUUUCAAGUUCAAUUUAAAAACCUUAUUCUUCUACUUACAAGACUAGUAACUAAAAUUCUUUCAAGGGAAUCUUUCAUAAAAGUAAAUUAAAUACAUUUCAACAUUGUAAAUUGCACUUAUAAAUUUAACAUAUCCAAUUUUCUUUUCCGGCCUUUCAAUUUUCUGACAAAUAAGCAUUCCCAAGUACCUAAAUAAUUCUUAUAAAUUAAAAAAAUAAAUUUAAAUUAGUCUUCUAUUAAAUAUGCUAAUACUAUUUCCAAACCUAAUACAAUUCUUUUACACCCUUCAACAUAGAAUCACAAGCCUAAAUAAGUUAUUGAAUGACAAGUUCAAAUUGGACUCACAAUUACAGAAAACACAAGGGGCUAGGGAACAUGUGAAAGUUUGCUCCAAGGAUGCACUCAGCAAAGUCCAGGUGGAGAGAAUCUCUGCAGGACAAUCAGGUUUCUUUAACAAAUAAAUGCAAGGAAAAAAAGAGAGACAAAUGGAGGAGGAACUUAGAAAUUAAAGAGCCUUAAAAGUGAUAUUAAGCAACUGAAAGGUGUGGAUCCUGAUUCAAAUAAGCAAACUAAAUAGAAAACAGGACAUUUAUGAGCCAUUGGGAAAGUUGCAUGUUGACUGCAUAUUUAACGAUGUUAAAGAAUCAUUGUCAUUUUUUUCCAGUUGUAUAAUGAUAUUGUGAUUAUGUUAGAAAAAAGGAGACUUUAUCUUUUAGCAUUUUUUACUGAGAUAUUUAUAGAUGAAAUUAUAGGCUACUUGAGAUUUGCUUGAAAAUAAUAGAGGAAGAAUGUACAUAGUGGGAGUAAAGAGGAAACAAAAUUGGCCACGAGCUGGUAAUUGUUGAAGCUGAAUGAGGGGUAUGUGGUGGUUUAUUAUACUAUUCUUUUUAAUUUUGUAUGUGUUUGAAAUUUUCUGUAAUAAAAGUUUUUAAAAAUUUGAAUCCCAAAGCAAAACAAAUAGUCCAAAUUCUCUUAUAUAUUCUUAAUACUUAAAUAUAAACAUAGAAUACACAUGUUUAUAAGUGUGUUAUAUUCUCAAACCUAACUGGAAAAUAGUACUACUAAGUGAGUUUGACUUACUUCAUCGUUUCUCCACUUAAUUUAAAUCUUUGAGAAGCUAAAAGUUACUUUCACUGAAGGAGACAAUAAGUAACCUGGGGUUACCUACAUGAACAAUUUGGAGGUGCUUUCUAGGUUGGUUGUGAGGAUGAGGUCUGGAAGUGUAGACUUCCAGAAUCAUCUUCUGCAUGAACUCGAGGGAGAAGCAGAGCCCUCUUUUAUGGUUGCCAUGCCAAUAGGAAUUCCAAGCCCAUGCCCUCCAAAUGGGGUGGCCUCCCCACCCCUGUCACCUGAAUCAGGUUACACGUAUUAUCUAAUUCUUAAGUGUGAUUUGAGUCUCUAACCCACCCAUGUUGUUUCACUAUUUGAUUUAUCGACAUAGCAAUAAAGCUUUUUAGUGCUUGAAGCUAUUUAGAAUUCUUUUCACAUUCUAUCAAGGUGAGAGGGUCACACUGCUUAUAUUUAAAGACAUCCAAUUGGAUUCUGCACCAAACUCUGGCUUUACAGUCACAACACCAAAGGCGUGCUAAUGACACUUAAUCUGACAGGGUGCCAGUUGUCUCCCUUUUGCUCCUCUGGAUCCACUCUUUGCCUUGUCCACCCUGCUCUCGGCCCAAGAAGUUGAUUUGAAUGGACUACACUACAUGGAGGGGGUUCCUUGCCCUCUGGUUUCUGUUUGGUUUAGGCCAAUGAGGAACCCCUGCAGGAGACUGGAGAGGGGACUGACAGGGAGUUCAGAGUAAUAAUUACCCUGGGUUGCUCCUGGCAAGGUCACCUCUGGCUGGCUAUGCCCUUCAACAGAAGAUUACUGCUCCCCGCAAGGUAGCCAACUACAGCAUUCUCUCCUUCUGGAGUCCAGUAACUGCUCCCUCUCUUUGUCCCUUCUGGCCUGGAAAGAACAGCCAGGGCUACUAAACCUGGGUUAUGCUAUCACUACACCUGUGAUUCCACUCCCACCUCUGUAAAGAAUCCCUGUGUAAAUAAACCGUCUUGGAAUUAUA
Molecule: non-coding RNA, 5392 nt
Organism: Equus caballus (horse)
Lineage: Eukaryota; Metazoa; Chordata; Mammalia; Perissodactyla; Equidae
Source: RefSeq, a predicted model, not a curated record